GAAAAAUACCACUGCAGUUCUGGAGUCUUGGCUAAGAUAGAACUGCACAGCAGAACACAUCUUCUGUUUUAAUCACCUGAAUGUCUGCACAACAUUUAAACCAGCAGAAAAAGGAAUGCUUCUGAAAGCUGCCAUGCUGUCCCCAAAAGGAGUGGAAUGCCCCAGUGUUGUCACAGCUCCACUUUGCUGGAAUGUCAUCACAACAAGCAAAAGAGCCGAGGCGCCAGCUGUCAGUGCCACAACCAGGGAAGGUCCUGAUUCCUGAUAGCCUCAUCUUUCCCAAAGACCACAAAGUACGUGGCUGUGCUCCGACGGCGCCGCGUUGCGGUGUGUUGCUGGAGGCUCGUUUCGAUUUCAGAGCACAUCUGGCAGUUGAGAAUAAAAU
RNAcentral lists this long non-coding RNA (385 nucleotides) under Phasianus colchicus (ring-necked pheasant). RNAcentral describes it as "lncRNA (ENSPCLG00000012989.1)". Lineage: Eukaryota; Metazoa; Chordata; Aves; Galliformes; Phasianidae. The record is from RNAcentral.